This 467-nucleotide ribosomal RNA is filed under the name uncultured bacterium. RNAcentral's name for it is "partial 16S ribosomal RNA". It matches the Rfam family "Bacterial small subunit ribosomal RNA", at positions 28 to 507 of the family's 1533-position model. The record is from RNAcentral.
GACGAACGCUGGCGGCGUGCUUAACACAUGCAAGUCGAACGGAAAGGCCUCUAUCGGGGGGUACUCGCGUGGCCAACGGGUGAGUAACACGUGAGUAACCUGCCCUUCACUUUGGGAUAACUUCAGGAAACUGGGGCUAAUACCGGAUAGGAGCUCCUGCUGCAUGGUGGGGGUUGGAAAGUUUCGGCGGUUGGGGAUGGACUCGCGGCUUAUCAGCUUGGUGGUGGGGUAGUGGCUUACCAAGGCGUUGACGGGUAGCCGGCCUGAGAGGGUGAUCGGCCACAUUGGGACUGAGAUACGGCCCCGACUCCGACGGGAGGCAGCAGGGGGGAAUAUUGCACAAGGGGUGGAAGCCUGAUGCAGCAACGCCGUGUGCGGGAGGACGGUCUUCGGGUUGAAAACCGAUUUCGCUCAUGACGAAGCUUUGUGUGACGGUAGUGGGUAAAGAAGCACCGGCUAACUACGUG